This 200-nucleotide ribosomal RNA is filed under the name Acinetobacter soli. RNAcentral describes it as "partial 23S ribosomal RNA". It matches the Rfam family "Bacterial large subunit ribosomal RNA", at positions 1660 to 1871 of the family's 2925-position model. Lineage: Bacteria; Pseudomonadati; Pseudomonadota; Gammaproteobacteria; Moraxellales; Moraxellaceae. The record is from RNAcentral.
CAGGUGGGUGAGGAGAGUAUCCUAAGGCCAGCGAGAGAACUGUUGUUAAGGAACUCGGCAAAAUGACCCCGUAACUUAGGGAUAAGGGGUGCCAUCGAAAGAUGGCCGCAGAGAAUAGGCCCAAGCGACUGUUUACCAAAAACAUAGGUUUCUGCUAAGUCGCAAGACGAUGUAUAGGAGCUGACGCCUGCCCGGUGCUG